RNAcentral lists this transfer RNA (63 nucleotides) under Pronodularia japanensis. Its description in RNAcentral is "tRNA-Val". Lineage: Eukaryota; Metazoa; Mollusca; Bivalvia; Unionida; Unionidae. The record is from RNAcentral.
GUUAGGGGGCCAAAGCCAGUUUUUUGGUGUAAGCAAGAUAUAUUAUGUGUAUAUUACCCUAAU